Molecule: ribosomal RNA, 497 nt
Filed under: uncultured bacterium
Lineage: Bacteria
Description: partial 16S ribosomal RNA
Rfam family: Bacterial small subunit ribosomal RNA
Source: RNAcentral
GACGAACGCUGGCGGCGUGCCUAAUACAUGCAAGUAGAACGCUGAAGCUUGGUGCUUGCACCGAGCGGAUGAGUUGCGAACGGGUGAGUAACGCGUAGGUAACCUGCCUGGUAGCGGGGGAUAACUAUUGGAAACGAUAGCUAAUACCGCAUAAUUGUAGAUGUUGCAUGACAUUUGCUUAAAAGGUGCAAUUGCAUCACUACCAGAUGGACCUGCGUUGUAUUAGCUAGUUGGUGAGGUAACGGCUCACCAAGGCAACGAUACAUAGCCGACCUGAGAGGGUGAUCGGCCACACUGGGACUGAGACACGGCCCAGACUCCUACGGGAGGCAGCAGUAGGGAAUCUUCGGCAAUGGACGGAAGUCUGACCGAGCAACGCCGCGUGAGUGAAGAAGGUUUUCGGAUCGUAAAGCUCUGUUGUAAGAGAAGAACGAGUGUGAGAGUGGAAAGUUCACACUGUGACGGUAGCUUACCAGAAAGGGACGGCUAACUACGUG